CAGUAGCCGCGGUAAUACGGAGGGGGCUAGCGUUGUUCGGAAUUACUGGGCGUAAAGCGCACGUAGGCGGCUUGGUAAGUUAGAGGUGAAAGCCUGGAGCUCAACUCCAGAAUUGCCUUUAAGACUGCCGAGCUAGCAGGUGAGAGAGGUAAGUGGAAUUCCGAGUGUAGAGGUGAAAUUCGUAGAUAUUCGGAAGAGCACCAGUGGCGAAGGCGGCUUACUGGCUCAUACUGGACGCUGAGGUGCGAAAGCGUGGGGAGCAAACAGGAUUAGAUACCCCUGUAGUCCCUGUCUCUUAUAC
RNAcentral lists this ribosomal RNA (301 nucleotides) under uncultured bacterium. RNAcentral's name for it is "partial 16S ribosomal RNA". It matches the Rfam family "Bacterial small subunit ribosomal RNA", at positions 509 to 807 of the family's 1533-position model. The record is from RNAcentral.